Mustela lutreola (European mink) is the source of this 9470-nucleotide long non-coding RNA. RefSeq lists it as uncharacterized. The record is from RefSeq and is a predicted model, not a curated record. Lineage: Eukaryota; Metazoa; Chordata; Mammalia; Carnivora; Mustelidae. The transcript is spliced from 3 exons.
GACAGCUAUGGGGUCUGGUGACUGGGAGGCUCUUGGGAUCUCUGAGAAUGAAGCCUCAGGUCCCAGAGGGCUAGUGGGGCAGCUAGCGUCCUUCACAGUUGAGGAAACGGAGACCACAGACUUUGAGUGACUGGCCCUGGUCCCACAACUCUCUGCUGCUUGACACCACCGGCCCCCACUUGGCGGUCUGGGAUGUCCAGAUUCUAAAUUCCAAGACGGGGCAUGUGAAUGAUCCUUGACCCUCCCCCCUGGCCCAGGGGACCUCCCCUUCAUGCAGGCGCCCCCAGCCACUCCACCAGGGCAUCUGGGCCGGAAGCCAUGGUCACAAGCACAUGGAGGGCCUGGCUUCUCCAAUCCCAAGGUGGGAGCCAAGCCCCCGGACCUCAGAGUCUCUUGGUCUGGCAUUCGGAGCUCAGCCCCACAGGUGGUGGAGCACGGACUCUUCUGGUGGGUUUCUGUCUCUACCUGCUGGUCUUACUCAGCUCGAGAGAGCUAUUAUUUGGGGGUCCAAAUAGGAGGCACCCUCGUGGGGAGGGAAAGGGGGGGCCUGGAACAGCCAGGGCGGCUCCUGGACGCACACCACUGCCUGGACUUCCUGGGACCACAGAGACCAGGCUUCGCCCUGGAACACAGACCUCAGGUGUUCCCACAGUCCUUGCCUCGGGAGGCACACCCUUCUGAGCCUUGACCUCGGGGCCUCCUGCUCCCGGGGUUGAGGGAGCGCCCCUGGGAGGGGAAACCUGGGGCAGAGCCCAUGGCAGCCUGGAGGCCAGAACAGCUCGCGAGGCAGUCUCCCUGCACCAAUUUCCCCCUUAGCUUGUUCCACUUUUAAAAAUAGCUAAUGAGGAAAUUAAUUUUGUCACCCAGAUGUAUUCAGUAAAAACAUGUCAGGGAGAGACAAUUAACCUCUGCACUGAUGCAUCCUCCCCAAAUUAAUGAGGCUAAUAUUUGUAGAUGUUGAGACAUUCUUUGGGGGAGAGGGUCCGUGAAAGUAGGGCUCCCCCAGGCACGGAAGGAGAAACAGAGAAAAGGGGGGGAGGUGGGGGAGAGGGGGAGGGGGAGGGAGGGGGAGGGAGAUGGGGGAGGGAGCAGGAUGCGGGGGGUGAGGAGACCGAGAAGGAGAAGGAGCCGCAGAGCAAGGAAGGGAGAAGGAAGGGGGCCCGAGUGAUUCCAGAGGUUGGCACUCCUGCCAACUUCCACGGCGAGCUCUGUCCGCCUCCCACCUGCCUCCUGCCCCCAGACCACUGCCCCCAGAGGUUAGUGAAGACCGGAAACUCUCCGGAGAAUGUUAACCUUCCCAGGCAUUCCCCUGAUGCAGUUUGUGGGCAGGAGGAGACUUGACACAGUGAGGCACAGAAUGAGGGGCUGGGAGCUGCCGAAGAUGAGGCUUGUCCCAGCCCACGCUGACGAGGUCUGCUCCCUGCUUAAGGACUCUGGGUUCUUCUCACCCAAGGCUGUGGGGAGCCCAGGCCCUGGGGAGGGGCUCACCUGCAGGAGGGGCCAGGCCUGCUGGCUGAUGGUUCCGGGACGCGUUCCAUCCUGUGUCUCCCCGGACAGUCCCGGAAUCCCACCCAGUGUGGACACCUCCCCCGCCCCCCCCUUCACAUCCGGCCCAGGACUCGGGCGCCAGCGGACAACCCCUCAGACAGGCCAGUCUCUGCCCAAGUAAGAGAUCUUUGCGCCCCAGGCAGGCACUGGGGAGGAAGGACAGGUGAGCUCAGGCCGCGGGGAGGUGCAGGCAGGGGUGUGGGCUGCGGGGCACCACGUGGGCAGCAUGGCCAUGAGAAGAAUGGGCCGCACCUCCCUACCUGUGUGCCCUGUCAUCCGGGUGUCACCAUGGAACAUGGCGCUCCUGGACUUUGAGACUGAAGCGGAAACUCCUCGGGGGACUUUGGACUUUGGAGACGUCAGCUGGGAUGGCCGAGGGGCCGUGUGAGCUCUCGGGGUUCGGCCCCCCGACACUGGAGUCAGGACUGCUACUGGGGUGCCGACAGGAGGGAGGCACCCGGGGAGCCCGGCCGGCGUGUUUCCCCCCGGGGUGAGAGCGGACUGUCGGACCCAAGCCGUAGAGGCUGCUCUCUUCCAUCAGUGAAAAGACCAUUUCUUUCUUCAUUUCUCUGACUGUGUGAAAUGCAAACAGGACGUAGCAUCCCCGGUCAAACCCUGUUGAAUGACCAGUUCUGGGAAGAGGAGGUCGGGACCAGGGUGAAGGGUGGGGGCCUGUAUUGCUGUCGAGGCAAAGACCUGCGAGAGACCCAUGGGGCUGUGAGCCUUUCCAGAACACCCAGAGGCAGAGGCAAGGACCAGCCCAUGGGAGGGCCCCGAGGGCUUGGGCCGCCAUGCUGGAAGACUGGAAGGCCCUUGGGCAGGAGCUAAUGGUGAAGAGGCUGAGUGGGGUGACCUGGCAAAGCAGGGACCUGCCUGCCUUGUUUCUACACUUGAAAAAUUGCCCAUGACCCUGGCCUCACAGGCACUGUGGUCAUAGACAAAGGAGAACCCGUUAUUAGGUAUCUUGAGUUGGAUUUUCUGAGGACCGGGGUUCUCCCUAAUCUAAUCUUUGCAGGCCUCGUGACAAGCUUGCCGAUUGCAGGGACGUGAUAGAUGUCGCCUAUCUUGAGUUCAGUUAAGCCGUUGCUCUGCUACAACCAACCAGCCAGCGAGCCGGAGGGAUGUUGGUCCUGAUCUCUAGGUCCCACGCUGGGUAGACCAGACUCCUCAAGGGCCCACCCACCACAGACAGGGUCUCAGAGUGACUUCCUGGGGCCCAGGCAUGCUGGAUGGGGGGCGUGAUCCUGGGACGGAGAGCUGGAGACCUGCCAGGUUUCGCAGAGCACCAGCCGUCGGCCGGGCAGGGAGGUUCUGGUUGCAGAUGGACAAUGGGGAACUGUGACAUGGAGGGAAAUAGAGCAGAGGGAGUGGGGCCCAGGGCAGAACAGGGCUGGGCAACGCCGAGCCCCGGCCCGUGCCCAGCGUGCCGUGCCCAGCGUGCCGUGCCCAGCGUGCCAUGCCCAGCACCGAGCAGGGCUCUGCACCGUCUCAUCGCAUCACAACGGGGAGCGCGGGAGCCCGAGGACGCCUGCCAACUUCUACAGCGAGCUCUGUCCGCCUCCCACCUGCCUCCCACCCCCAGACCACUGCCCCCAGAGAUUAGUAAAGACUGGAAAAUUAGAAGCAGGAGGGAAGUUUGGGGGAAGCUGAGCCUGCAGGAUGACUGUGACGUGUGCAGGAACAUGAGGGUUUUUACAGAAGGGGUGUUGAGUGGGUGGUUCUCUCUCUUCUGCUCUGGACAGAACACAGGAAGCGGCUCGGGCUGCAGCUGAAGGGCUGGGUUAGAGGUAAGGAGGGGCGUUUGCCAGUGCGGGUGAGCCCCGGGAGCCCCGCCGUGGGAGGCCCCCCGCGGAGGCGGGUUGGUGCUGCCUUGCGGAGGUGACCCGUCCCGAGACUGAUUUCCGGGACGGGAACGGGGCACCUCCGGGGAACCCCCUGCUCUGAAUUCCAGCCCAGUGACCAUGAGCCAGCCCCAACCUCAGUUUCCCCAUCUGUGUGUUAGCACAACGGUUUCGACCUUGUGAGAUCCCCGCGAGGAUCGGGGCGGGGGGGGGGAUAACAUAUGUAAAAAAGUUGUAUUUUUGGUUCGGAAAUACUACAUGAACGCCAGCACACCAACUAGUGCUCUGGGUUGGGACCAAUCGCUGCAUAUUUUGGGGAGCGCUCUGCUCUUCCGCGCUCACCCACGUCCCCCUGCACCUUCCCAAGGCACCGCACACGCCACCCCCCGGUCACUAAGCAGUUUGUCAGAGUCCAGGCCCUAGGUGAGGGCCAGCCGGGAGCCCCUCGGUUAUCCUGCCCUUGCCCCCCGUCUCUGUCAGGGAGUGGCUGGGAGGUCCGGGAACGAGAGCAGCCGACAGCGUGACAUCGCAGUCUGAGGUUACUCCUGCCUGGACCCCGGUGGCACACCCGGGCCCCACGGUGGGGGGACAGGUCAUUUAUCCCUGGUGGCUCCAGGCCUGGGUGGCCCCUCAUUACCCCAGAUCCCUCAGCGGGGCGCGCCUCCCUCAGGGCCGGCCUGGCCUUUGGAGGGCAGAGUCCUCUUCCAGCUCUGGCCUCUGCAGAUCCCUGAGGCCGAGGCGGCCUCUGCUGCGGUCAGGGGUUGAUCAGCGGGUGGAGCGGGAGGGCGGGCACAGGAGGGGGAAAGAGUGGGGAAGUGGCAGAAGCUGAAGAAAUCUCACAGGGCUCUGUAGUGGGGGAACUAGUUCCUGAUUGCCCUUGGCCUCGGCUUCCCUUCCACCCUGCGGAGAGCAGGGUGCCCCUGACUCAGCUCCUUCUUCAGGGGGUGACCGUGGCCAGGGGUCAAGUGCAUUUCUAAGCUGCUCUGGCCUGAGGCGGCCUAGAGAAAGGAGCACAAGAGAAAAAUGACACCCUGAGGUUCACAGGGUCGGUGGUGCAGGGGCAACCCACCGCGGCCUACAGGCUGGUGCCCCGCCGGGCUCUCCUCAGGGGCCUCCCCGGCCGUGGAACCUCGGCAGAGUUCUCUGUGCUCCUCCCAUUUCCUCAGCUGUGACACAGGUGUCAUCACAGCUCCUUGCUCCGGCUGCCGUGACAACGCGUCACAACCAAACGGCUCGGCCACCAGGGAUCUGCGCGUUCCUGCUCCUGGAGGCUGAACGUCCGCUGUCAAGGGGUCUGCAGGGCCCGUUUCUCCCGAGGCAGCCAGAGAGAUGCUCUCCCCUCACUUCUGGGGGUUGGCUGAGCUCCUGUGUGCCAGGCUCUGUUCCAAGGGCUUUCCGUCACCCCGCAGCCCCUGGCCACCCUGUGCCCGCCUCCCUGGGUUGGCUGGUGGCUCUUUCCUGCCCUUCCCUGCCGGAGGCCGACUCUCAGCCCCCAGGAUGGGGCCCUGCGGCUCCUUGCGUCCCCUCCCUGUUCCCCUCCAUCUGGACCAGGAUUCCAAAUGGAAAGCCUUCCUCUGGCUGAGUCUAACAGGCCUGGCAGCCUUAGGAACCAGACAGGGACUGACCUGGACUUGUUCUUAUCUGUCUUGUUUGAAUCUUAAAAACCGCACGUGAGGGCCCAGUCCUGGAGCCUCUUGGGACUUGUCCCUCUGCCCCCAGCUGCUCGUCUUCCUGCUGUCUUGAGUCGAAAUUAGGGCCCUGGAAGGACGGGGGUGGAUGGCCAGGGCGGGGGGUGUGUCCAGUGGGGGAUUCGGCAUCCGAGACAUCCGGCGGACUUCCCAGGAGACGGUGGCUUUCGGGGAAGGGGCAUUACAGAGCGAGUCGAGCAGCCAGUUCACCGAGGAGCCGGUCUGAGCCUCGGCCGCGCCGGUCCUCUUCCUCACACGGCUGCUGCCCCCGCCCUGCCGGUUCCGGGCCGGGGGCUUCAGCGCGCUUUUGUCUUUUGGUUGUCUUGGCGAGAAGUAGAGCGCUUUUCUCUUAGCUGUGAGGCUCGACCUGCCGACCUCUCCCUUGGCAAAGGGGAAGGCAGUUUUCCUUGGAGAAAAGGGUGGGCACCGGCAGGACGCCCCUCCCUGGCUUCUCCCAUCCCCCCUCGCCUCUCUCUGACCCUCCGUCCCGCUUUCCUCUCUAUACUGUCCGUCUCUGCCUUUUUUAUGCUUAGCUCGUUCUCCCAACCUCUUGGUCUGUGUUUCCCGGGGUCCCUCAGUCUCUCUCACCCGCGUCUUUCUGUCCGUCCGUGGGUCUUCUGUGCUCCUGAGCCACACCCCUGGCAUGCUCCCUGCCAGGUGCGGGGAUCUGUGCGGACCUCGGUGGGUGCCGCCCAGCACGAGGGAGGGGACCCCGCUGAGGCAGAGCGCUCCUUCCCCCAGAGGGAGGACAGCAGGAGCUCUGCAGAGACCUCUUCCCCUUACAGGCCCCUCCGCCAGGACUCAGCCCCGCACACGAGAGUGGCCAGCGGCCCGGGAGCACUGGACUCUGGCCCUCUACUGCCCGGUCCUCGCUCUUCUGCCUAGAAGCCUUUGACAGGUGGAAGGGAAAAUAUCCUCCUUCCUUUUCAUUUGGAGGCAACUUGGAUUUUGUUCUUGUGUUGAGCAAAUCAGUCUGAAAAAUUAUUACGGUUUCUGUUUCAGCUCUGCUUGCCGUGUAAAUAUUUUAAUCCAGUAUCGGAAGAAGAAUUCCAUGUGUGUCAGCGGGGCUCUGGAGGGACAGCUCCCGUCCGUCCCCGGCGGUGGCGGGCGCCUGCGUCUUCCAGGCCGCCUUCCAAAGCUGCACUUCCCUCCCUCUGCCUCUGACUUUCUUUCCCUUCCCCCGCUUCACCUGCCCCGAUCUAGGGCUCUAUAACACGUAGCCCUGACUUUUUUUUGGACCAAAGGCAGCCGACAUUCAUCAAAAUCUUAACACAUGUCAGACUCUGUACCCCAUCCUUCCAUGGAGCGCUCCUCAUUCCCCAGGGAGAUAGAUAAGAUUUGAUUGUUCCCAUUUCACAGAUGGGCAAACAGAGCCUUGAGGAGUGUACAGUGACUUGUGGGCCGCGCAGUCAGGACUGCCGGGGCCCACGCACAAUUGUUGGAGGUCAGAGCAAGCAGCAGCAGGCAGAACGGCUGAAGGGGAUGUACGCGUGUGCAUGCAUGUGUGAAUGUGUGUGCGUGCAUGUGUGUGCGCACGCAUGUGUGCAUGUGUGAAUGUGCGCACGCACGUGUGUGCGUACGUGUAUGUGUGCGUGUGCAUUUGUGUGCAUGUGCAUGCACGCGUGUGUAUCUGCGCGCGCGUGCGUGCACAUGUGUGUACGUGUGUGCAUGUGCACACACAUGCAUGGGAGUGCGUGCGCACCUCUGUCUAGCGUAUGUGUGCAUGCGUGCUCGUGCAUGUGGUGGGUGCGCUGGGGGAGAGGAAGUUACACUGUGGUUGGAGAUUUUGCAGGAACAAGCACUGGGCCCAAGGACGGGGCACCGAGGACACAGCGCAGAGUCUGCGCAUCAUCCUGCAGGGCCUGUGGGGACACAGGGACAAUUUAAGCAGGGAAGUGUGUGGUCAGGAGCGUGUUUUGGGAAGCUCACCCUGAGAGCACUGUGGAGGGUGGAUGUGGGAGUGGCAGUGAGAGGGGAAGUUAGGAGCCAUCGCAAAAUGCCAGGAGGAAGCCAGUGACGGUUAGUGGGGGCAAGCGGCCAUAGGGGCGGACACGGGUGCCCCAGAUGAAGGAGGCAGAAUCUCCAGGACCAGGGAACAGGCUAGAUGUGAGCACUGAAAGCAAGGGGGCGUGCACAUGGGGCUCGGGUUCCAGCUAGCAUGCCUGUGUGGGCACUGAGUCCCUUCCCCUGGAUAGACGGGACAGUACAGAGAACAAGAGGUGGGCUUGGGGCCAAGGGGCUUUGAGUGGAAGACUUUGAGAACCAAAGUCCUUAAUUCUCUCCAUUCUACUGUCCCAAAGCUAAAGAAGUGGUAGUGAGUACCCCAUCCCUGGGAGUAUUCAAACCUAGUCAGAUGACCUCUUAGCAGGGAUUGUUUCGAGGGUUUUUCUGUCCUGGGAGGGCAGGUGGAGGGUGUCUUCGUCAGCCUGGGCCAUCCUCCAGAGCACAAAUUGCUGAAGAUUUGCUGUGAUUUGAGAAUUGCCGAGAUUCUCACAGUCCUAGUGGCCGGAGGUCUAGAUUGAGGUCUGGCAGGGUCAGGUUCCAGUGAGAAGGUGACCUAGAGAGAGUGCUGGUCUCUUCUUGUAAGGCCACAAUCCAACUGCUUCCUAGGAAAGAGCCAGCAAGGGGAGGCAGGGCCUGACCUUGGUCACGGACCUCAUGGCCGAGGGGGUGCGUGGGGAACGGAAGACACACCUGUGCAUGGGCUGGUCCCCGUCUCUGCUGCUCGGCAUCUCGUCACCCCGCGGAAGUCACCUUGGUGCCAGCAAGAGGCUCCGGGCGCCCCGCAACUGCUGCCGGUGCAUCUAACUAGUCCUGCCCUCCAGCUGACAGCUCUCACCCUCUGACUAAAUGGCAGUUUCCCCCCAAGUGCUUCCCUCUGGCAAGGCUAAAUAUCAAUUAUCUCCCUUUAUUUCAUGAUUAUUCACGGGCGCCCGUGUCACCCCAUCCCAGAGACGUUGGCGCCGGGAGAUGUGAAGAGUGGUUCAUUGUAGGGAGCUGCCUAGCCAUCCUGGAGCCCAUCAGACUGUCCUUGCCUGGGGAGCCCAGUCUGUCUGUCCCCGGGUCACGGCGGAGCUGUGCCUGAUGCCUGGGUCGACGUCCCAGGGGGAGUUUCAGGGUCCAAGGGAAGAGACGUAGUUCGCCCUGCCAGAAGCGUGGAGGAAAGGCUCUCCCCCAGAACCUGAGCCGGAGACUGUUCUCACCUGGACGACUCCUGCACUGUUUCCCUGCUGCCAGGUGAACAGAAACCCCUAGGGCACCCAGGGCGCUGCGGGCGACGUGCAGGCGUUGGGGACGGAGGCAGAGCCAGAAGAUACGGCCUGCUGUGUGUGCGGGGUUAGGUCUAAACCCAGACACGUGGCAGGAGCCGACUCUGGACCUCUGGGGGUUAGGUGGGGUAGGUUGUGAGUCUGUGUGCCCUGGCGUGUGUAUGGGAGGGGGCAUUUUGCACAUGGGGGUGUCAGUAAGGGGAACGAAAGGGCCUUUCUCCACCUGAUGCACCCUCUUGGCAUAUGGGGUUCACCUGAUACCCGCUCAUCGUUCAUCGAUUGAGACACAGCCGAGGGUGUGCUGCUCGUCCCUUAACUCUGGGCUGCUGUCCCUCCCAGGGCUGCCGGUGCCGAGGAUGCCAGCAGACGGCCCGAGUUCCCAGCGUGGCCAGUGGACAAUGCAUCCAAGCAUUCCCAUCACUUCCAAGUAACAGAGCAGGUGACAGGGUUGACCGGCCACGGACCUCUGGUGGGUGCUCGGGCCCAUGUGCCCACCCGCCUUGACCCAUCUGCCACACAGAGGGAGAGGCAGGAGACAGUGUCACAGAGGACGGAAGACCACAGGAGGGUCCAGGACACCUGGCCGUCUACCCCGGCCAGCCUUCCUCACCAGGCCCACCUGUGAACGCCCCUUGUCUCUCGGACCCUUGGCUUCUUCAUCUGUGAAAUGGAGCCGGUUUGUGAACGGAGGUCAAAGAGGGAGAGGGGAUAGAACAAUAGUUCUUAAGCAAAGUUUCUAGAAAUCUCUUCGUUUUUCAAGACGGAUGGGUAGAGUUUUGCUGCUAAAACCCGAUAAUAAUGUUUGCCCCCAGGUUGUAGAUGUAGUGAGACCGUGCCCUGCGGCAUCGCCCGAGCCCCGUCUGUGUGCUGGGGGUGGGGGGGCGCAGCUCCUCCCAGGCGUCGCUGGGAGCUCUGGGGACUGAGCAACUUCCCAGCCCGCUCUCUCAUCCCUGCUCACCUCUGGCCAGGUGGCCACGAGGGGCCUUCCCACGGGUGGCCUCUGACCAGCAGGUCACAGUGUCUGUCGGUCUGCCCUGCUCCAACAGUGACACAGUCCCCUCAGAGUCCCCCAAAGCCGCCGUGUUCACCCGGCUUCACCCACCCCCGGGCUGCUCUCACCCUCC